Molecule: small nuclear RNA, 107 nt
Filed under: Pteropus vampyrus (large flying fox)
Lineage: Eukaryota; Metazoa; Chordata; Mammalia; Chiroptera; Pteropodidae
Source: RNAcentral
GUGGUCACUUCGGCAGCACAUAUACUAAAAUUGGAAUGAUACAGAGAAGAUUAUCAUGGCCCCUGUGCAAAGAUGACACACAAAUUCAUGAAACAUUCUAUAUUUAA